UGCGGCGUCGCCCAGCGGCAGGGCAGCGGCUUCAUACGCCGUUCGGCGCGGGUUCGAGUCCCCGCCGCCGCAACCA
This is a transfer RNA of 76 nucleotides. It matches the Rfam family "tRNA". From Rfam's summary of the family: Transfer RNA (tRNA) molecules are approximately 80 nucleotides in length. Their secondary structure includes four short double-helical elements and three loops (D, anti-codon, and T loops).